AUUGAACGCUGGCGGCAGGCCUAACACAUGCAAGUCGAACGGUAACAGGAAGCAGCUUGCUUCUUUGCUGACGAGUGGCGGACGGGUGAGUAAUGUCUGGGAAACUGCCUGAUGGAGGGGGAUAACUACUGGAAACGGUAGCUAAUACCGCAUAACGUCGCAAGACCAAAAAGGGGGACCUUAGGGCCUCUUGCCAUCGGAUGUGCCCAGAUGGGAUUAGCUAGUAGGUGGGGUAACGGCUCACCUAGGCGACGAUCCCUAGCUGGUCUGAGAGGAUGACCAGCCACACUGGAACUGAGACACGGUCCAGACUCCUACGGGAGGCAGCAGUGGGGAAUAUUGCACAAUGGGCGCAAGCCUGAUGCAGCCAUGCCGCGUGUAUGAAGAAGGCCUUCGGGUUGUAAAGUACUUUCAGCGGGGAGGAAGGGAGUAAAGUUAAUACCUUUGCUCAUUGACGUUACCCGCAGAAGAAGCACCGGCUAACUCCGUG
RNAcentral lists this ribosomal RNA (490 nucleotides) under uncultured bacterium. RNAcentral's name for it is "partial 16S ribosomal RNA". It matches the Rfam family "Bacterial small subunit ribosomal RNA", at positions 30 to 507 of the family's 1533-position model. The record is from RNAcentral.